This 320-nucleotide ribosomal RNA is filed under the name uncultured bacterium. Its description in RNAcentral is "bacterial SSU rRNA". It matches the Rfam family "Bacterial small subunit ribosomal RNA", at positions 28 to 348 of the family's 1533-position model. The record is from RNAcentral.
GACGAACGCUGGCGGCGUGCUUAACACAUGCAAGUCGAGCGGUAAGGCCCUUUCGGGGGUACGACGAGCGGCGAACGGGUGAGUAACACGUGGGUGACCUGCCCUCAGCUCUGGGAUAAGCCUGGGAAACCGGGUCUAAUACCGGAUAUGACUCCAUGACGCAUGUUGUGGGGUGGAAAGCCUUGUGCGGCUGAGGAUGGGCCCGCGGCCUAUCAGCUUGUUGGUGGGGUGAUGGCCUACCAAGGCGACGACGGGUAGCCGGCCUGAGAGGGCGACCGGCCACACUGGGACUGAGACACGGCCCAGACUCCUACGGGAGG